This 497-nucleotide ribosomal RNA is filed under the name uncultured bacterium. RNAcentral's name for it is "partial 16S ribosomal RNA". It matches the Rfam family "Bacterial small subunit ribosomal RNA", at positions 28 to 507 of the family's 1533-position model. The record is from RNAcentral.
GAUGAACGAGGGUGGGGGGAAGAAUACAUGCAAGUCGAGCGAACAGACGAGGAGCUUGCUCCUCUGACGUUAGCGGCGGACGGGUGAGUAACACGUGGAUAAACUACCUAUAAGACUGGGAUAACUUCGGGAAACCGGAGCUAAUACCGGAUAAUAUAUUGAACCGCAUGGUUCAAUAGUGAAAGACGGUUUUGCUGUCACUUAUAGAUGGAUCCGCGCCGCAUUAGCUAGUUGGUAAGGUAACGGCUUACCAAGGCAACGAUGCGUAGCCGACCUGAGAGGGUGAUCGGCCACACUGGAACUGAGACACGGUCCAGACUCCUACGGGAGGCAGCAGUAGGGAAUCUUCCGCAAUGGGCGAAAGCCUGACGGAGCAACGCCGCGUGAGUGAUGAAGGUCUUCUGAUCGUAAAACUCUGUUAUUAGGGAAGAACAAAUGUGUAAGUAACUAUGCACGUCUUGACGGUACCUAAUCAGAAAGCCACGGCUAACUACGUG